Molecule: ribosomal RNA, 232 nt
Filed under: uncultured bacterium
Lineage: Bacteria
Description: partial 16S ribosomal RNA
Rfam family: Bacterial small subunit ribosomal RNA
Source: RNAcentral
UGGGUGAUCUGCCCUGCACUUUGGGAUAAGCCUGGGAAACUGGGUCUAAUACCGAAUACACCUUGCUGGCCGCAUGGCCUGGUGGGGGAAAGCUUUUGCGGUGUGGGAUGGGCCCGCGGCCUAUCAGCUUGUUGGUGGGGUGAUGGCCUACCAAGGCGACGACGGGUAGCUGGUCUGAGAGGACGACCAGCCACACUGGAACUGAGAUACGGUCCAGACUCCGUACGGGAGG